This 77-nucleotide transfer RNA is filed under the name Bacilli bacterium. Its description in RNAcentral is "tRNA-Pro". It matches the Rfam family "tRNA". From Rfam's summary of the family: Transfer RNA (tRNA) molecules are approximately 80 nucleotides in length. Their secondary structure includes four short double-helical elements and three loops (D, anti-codon, and T loops). Further hydrogen bonds mediate the characteristic L-shaped molecular structure. tRNAs have two regions of fundamental functional importance: the anti-codon, which is responsible for specific mRNA codon recognition, and the 3' end, to which the tRNAs corresponding amino acid is attached (by aminoacyl-tRNA synthetases). tRNAs cope with the degeneracy of the genetic code in two manners: having more than one tRNA (with a specific anti-codon) for a particular amino acid; and 'wobble' base-pairing, i.e. permitting non-standard base-pairing at the 3rd anti-codon position. Lineage: Bacteria; Bacillati; Bacillota; Bacilli. The record is from RNAcentral. RNAcentral also lists the same sequence under 1 other name.
CGGGAAGUAGCGCAAUUUGGUAGCGCAUCAAUUUCGGGUGUUGAGGGUUGCCAGUUCAAAUCUGGUCUUCCCGACCA